UAGUUCAGUGGUAGAAUGCUUGACUGUUAAUCAAAGGGUCGCUGGUUCGAAUCCAG
RNAcentral lists this transfer RNA (56 nucleotides) under Lacticaseibacillus rhamnosus. RNAcentral describes it as "Lactobacillus rhamnosus tRNA-Asn". It matches the Rfam family "tRNA", at positions 8 to 62 of the family's 71-position model. Rfam says of the family: Transfer RNA (tRNA) molecules are approximately 80 nucleotides in length. Their secondary structure includes four short double-helical elements and three loops (D, anti-codon, and T loops). Lineage: Bacteria; Bacillati; Bacillota; Bacilli; Lactobacillales; Lactobacillaceae. The record is from RNAcentral.